This 6408-nucleotide long non-coding RNA is filed under the name Nicotiana tabacum (common tobacco). RNAcentral describes it as "long non-coding RNA (NTAB_LNC007759)". Lineage: Eukaryota; Viridiplantae; Streptophyta; Magnoliopsida; Solanales; Solanaceae. The record is from RNAcentral.
GUUCCCACAAGCGCAACUCAACUAUGAUAUAUCUGAUAACCUAAAAAAUGGUAAAAUAUUCUAUUUAUACUAAGUAGGAAAAACUGGACAAAAAUACUCCUGCGGGGUCAGCGCGGGCCGCAUUAAAUGGACCUCGGCCGCACUGGGCUCUUUGACUUUGAAUUUUGCUUCUCUGAACUUGGACUCCGCGCACCGCGUAGAAUGGACCGCGACCGCGGACCGUAUGGCAUUGGUUUUGCAAACUUUCAUCUCUCUGAAUCUCAUGACCGCAGACCGCACAAAAGAGUAGUGCGGCCGCGGAGCCUUCAUCGCGGACCGCAAGAUGUGUACCGCGGCCGCGCUUCUUCUAGCCUGGUUUACCAACUCUCUGAACCACCUAGUACGGCCGCAUUCAACUUUGCGCGGUCCGCACUGGGCCUUCUUUCCUUAGACUUCUUGGUCUUUGAUACUUGAGCAGGUUUCACUCCUUUUUGAGCCGAUCUUUGAUAUUUCGCACUUUGUCGAUUAAACCUGCAAUCAAGCACAACUUGUGAGCCUUUUAGGACUAUUUUGUAACAAUAUAUGAUCAAAUCAUAGGCAAGUAGGGGUAUAAAACAUGUUAAAAUCCCAACUUAUCAAGCCUCUCGAGGAUAAAUACAGACUUCUCCGUACCGAUCCGUGAGACUCUACUAAACCUGCUCAUGACUCGUGAGACCUAUGUAACCUAGGCUCUGAUACCAACUUGUCACGACCCUAAAUUCGGACCCGGUCGUGAUGGCACCUCUCGUGAAGACAAGGCUAGCCGACACUUCCCAUUUCAAUUUUUAAUAGUUAAACCAUAAGAAAUAAGUCUAAAGCAUAAAAGUAAAAUCUCAAAGUAACAGAUAAUAGCAUAAUUUGCGGAAUAUAACCCCACACAGCCCGAUACCGGGGUGUCACCAGUCAUGAGCUUCUAUCAAUAUACUACAAGUCUGAAGUGCCUACAAAGUUAUUACAAAAUUACAAAAAGAGAAAGAAAUGAGAUAAAGGGAAGAAACACGAGACUAUGAACGCCAAGCAGCUACCUCGUGGACUCCGAAAUCUGCCGGGAGCUCUUAACUCGCACUGGCAGGAUCUACAAUGGCUGAAUCUGCACACGGGGUGCAGGGAGUUAAGUGAGUACUCCAACUCAGUGAGUAAUAAUCAUAAAUAAAGACUGAAAGCAGGAAAUCACGUAAGGCAUAAUAUAUGCUAUAAUGAAGCAGUAAUACCAUUAAAAACAGUGAAUCAGUAAAAAGACAAAUAAUCAUUUAAGUUCAGUUUAAACUUCGGGAAAUAGCUUUUCAACAAUUAAACAGAUAAUGACAGGCAAUUAAGAAAGAUAAACACAUAAAGGUUCGUCCCUCGGGCACAGUAUCAACAAAUCCGCCCCUCGGGCAAUAUCUCACAACAUUACCAACCCCUAGGGCUAUAUCUCACAUCACAAUAGGUACCCGCCCUCACUGGGGGUGUGCAGACUCCUGGGGACCCCUUACGGCCCAAGCGCAAUAUCAAGCCAUCUUGUGGCGUCAUCACUAGGCUCUCGGCCUCAUAUCAACAAGCCACCUCGUGGCAUACAUAUUUUAGGCCCUCAGCCUCAAAUCAUGAUCAGUGUUUCCUCACAACAUAGGCCCUUGGCCUUACUCAGUCAACAAUCCUCACAAGCUACUCGACAGUAGUAAAACAUGAUUCUUAGCCCAAAUAUCAUUUAAAAGAUCAUUUAAGUGUUAAAAUAUAGUAAACAUGGCCGAGUAUGAAAACAGUGAAAUAUAACAUGACUGAGUUUAAGUAUAAAAUCAAAACAAUGAGGAAAUAUCAAUAGAAAUCCCCGAAAGGUUCAAAUAGUUAACACGAGGCCCAAAUUUGGCAUUCAGCCAAAUAAUGAUGAUAGCAAAUAGAUUUCAGUCAAAUACGCGGUAAAAUAGUCAUUCAGGACGGACUAAGUCACAAUCCCUAACAGUGCACGAACCCACGGUCGUCAUCAAACGUGUGCGUCACCUCAAUAUAGCACAACGAUGUGCAAUCCGGGGUUUCAUACCCUUAGAACAUCAUUUACAAUCAUUACUCGCCUCAAUCCAAUCAAAUCUCUAGCCCGUAAUGCCUUUGCCCCUCGAAUCGGCCUCCACUCGCAUCGAAUCUAUCCAAAAUCAGAAUCACAACAUCAAAAUAUGCUAAGGGAACGAAGCCCAAGCGAAAAUAAUCAAUAUACAACACAAAUCCCGAAAUUACCAAACCUAGCCCGGGGCCCACGUCUCGGAAUUCGAUAAAAUUUAUAAAAAUAGAUUCCUUAUCUCCCCACGAGUUCAUACAUAUCAAAAGUACCAAAAUCUGACCACAAUAGGUCCCUCAAAACCUCAAGUUUAGGUCUCCAAUACCAAGCCCUAGUUUCCCCAAUUUUAACCUUUAAAUUCCAUUAAUUAUAGCUCUAAUCCGUAAAAUAAUACCAUAGGAACGAGUUUUAAGUCCAAAAUCCUUACCUCAAUAAAGUUCCCUUGAAAUCCCUCUUCAAAAUCAUCCAAAAACCUCCAAAGCUGACAUAAAAAUAAUGAAAUAGCUCAAAAAUCGCGAAGGAACAAUUUAUACCUUCUGGCAGAGGCAUUUUUGCAUCUGCAGCCAUAUACCCACUUCUGCGGUACUGCAUUUGCGGCCAAAUAACCGCUUCUAUGGUUUUCACUUAUUCUGCCCCGGUCCGCAUCAGCGAUGCACCAGCCGCACCUGCGCCAAGGCAGGUGCGGUCCACUAACCGCAGCGGUUUCAGCCACCCUAGCUCCAUUUCACUUCUGCGGUUCCCUUCCACGCAUCUGCGACAUCACACAUGCGGUCCUCUAUCCGCAGGUGCGGAAAUACCAAAAGCAACAAAAAUCUGCAGCUCACCAAAAUUCCAAACUUCGCCGUCAACCAUCCAAAAUCACCUCGAGGCCCCUGUGACCUCAACCAAAAGUACAAAUAUGUACCAUAACCUUAUUCAAACUUAUAUCAAUCUUCAAAACACCUCAAACAACAUCGAAUCAACCAAAACGCAUCGGAUUCAAGCCUAAGUUUCCAAAAUCUUUCGAAUUACGCUUUUGAUAAUAAAAAUCCAACCAAACCACGUCCGAAUGACAUGAAAUUUUGCACACACCUCCCAAAUGAUACAACAGAACUACUGCAACUCUCAGAAUUCCAUUCUAACUCCUAUAUCAACAUCUCACCUACCAACCGGAAAUCGUCAAGAUAUCAACUUUGCCAAUUCAAGCCUAAAUCUACUCCGAACCUCCAAAACUCAUUUCGAUCACCCUCCUAAGUCCCAAAUCACCUCCCGAAGCUAUCCGAACCAGAACUUACAUCCGAUCCCUCUAACACAUAAGUCAACAUCCGGUUGACUUUUCCAACUUAAGCUUCCUCAAAAGAGACUAAGUGUCUCAAACCUUACUAAAUCCUUUCCGAACCCGAGCCAACCAACCCAAUCACAUAUAAAACCGAUAGACAAAGCAGUAAGAAGUGAAAUGGGGGAAACGGAGCGGUAACUCAUGAGACGACUGGCUGGAUCGUCACAAUUUCAUCUUCUUGGAUUUAACUAGGUGCUUUUCAAAUUUUCCUAAAAAUGAAUCACUUCUUUCUAUCCCCAACCUCAUGGUUAGACAUGGAUGAGCUUUACAAUUAUGUUAUCUCUCCCCUUUGAGGAUGCAAAUCUAAACGGUCACUCUUAGGCAAGUAAACAAGAAAAUGAAGAAAGCACAGAGAUAAGACCAAUAGUCUGACAAAUCUUUGGUUGAAUCAAACUGUUGCUUUCAAUAAAUAAUCAUUUUUAAUAACUAGUUGCUUUGAACAAUAUCAACACAACUUGAGCAAAUGAAAAUGGCGAAGUACAGUAAGUGUUCCAGAUUGAAAAGUAUGGCACUUGCGCCUAAUUCAACCCAAAAGCACUAUUACUGAACAAUAAUGUUUACCUGGAUAGCGCAAUGAGACUCCUGUCUUUGUAUCAUCUUAUACUUAAUUCAAUUUAACGUAAUUUAGUGAUAAUAAUUCUUUUCCUCAAGGAUGAUAUCUGCUUCUGUCGGAUCCAUUUUUUAGCAAUAUAUACAUAUAAUGUAAACACACAGAAGUACUCAGAGAUACACACACAUAGAGGAAAGUCAUCUGGUGUUCUUUACAUUUUUGUAUACCUUUUAUUUCUACCAUCAACAUUUAGCUUUAAAGUCAAUAACCUUAGAUGGACAUAAAAGGAAAAGUAAAAACUUGUAAGUAACAGUUUGCAGUAGCCUUCCCAAGAAUUGGAGCAUGUAAUUGUAAUCUUCCUGUAAUGAUCAUUUCAAUAUUAAUCAAGUAAUUACUUAACCAGCCUACUAAGACAAACAAACUAAUGUGUGUUUAAUUACUUAACAGACUCACUAAGAUAGAUUCUGAUGCCAUGUCAUUUCCUUAGAUGGUUGUCCUUGCUUUAUUUUUAUAUCAUGAAGAGCUCUCUGUGUGACUUUUAAAUUAAAGAGCAUGAAAAUUCAAAACUCUAUUCCAUGCAAACCCCAACUCAAAAAUUCAGAACUCUAUUCCAUGCUCAAUGUCUUAGCCUACAAGAUUUUAUAGUUCACAAACAUGACUACUAUCAUAUGCUUUUUCGAUAUUUUGCCUACAUCCAAAGCUGUAAUUUUCUUGUCUUCAGCUUCUUGUCUUUCUUCUUUUAAUUUCUAAUUUGAACAUCAUUUUUUCUUGCUCUUUUUGUUCUUCUUCAGAAUUGUAAUAUGGCAAGGUCAUAGCUUGAACUGAAUCAUAGAAAUGCAAAUGCUAGAAGAGCAUGAAUUAUGUAAUUACUUGUAACUAUAUCCAAAUAAUUUUCCAAACUCACCUUUAAUAAAUUUAACAUCACACUCGUGUUACCUUCGACACCAUAACAGGUGGAGAAAGUAAGAUGACUCAGAAUUUCUUACUCCAUAAGGAUUAAUGAUACACGAUUAUCUAAUAAAAUAAGGAAUAAACAAAAAAGUCAAAGAAUUGUGUAAGCUAAAUGACCACAUAUGUACCAAUAACAUUAAGCUGAAAAUACUAACAUGAAGUUGGAUUAUGCUGCAAUGGAAGGGAACUGAGGACAUAUGUAUUUUUCUUUUACUGAAAUACCAUUAAGAAAAUGGUAUUUUCUAAAUAGAACAGAAUUAACAAACAAGCAAAUUGUGCACUACGAAGGUGAGACAGAAGCAACAAUAUCAUGAUAUUUCAGAAAUAAAAGAUAAAUCAACGUGCACUUUGAUCCAUUCAUGGUUUUUAGCAGCCUUAGUAGAUUCCUGUUUACUGGGAAUUAGGAAAGUAUUAAUGUCUAAGACAGAGUAUGUGCUCUUCUUUAAAAAUUAAAAAUUCCAAGGCGAAUCGAUUCAUCUGGGAUUGGAUAAACAAUUUUCUUUCACACUCUCUCAGAUGUUAACAGAGUGUAAAGGAAUGAGGUACUAAUUGUCUAAGAUUUUUUUUUCUCAAAAAAUAAAAUAAUAUAAAUACUUAGUAAAAUAAUGAUUCUUCCCAAAGUUAAAAAUCAUCUACAAUUAAAAAUUACUUGUAUUACAACCAGAAUUUAGUAAUAAUUUAAUGCAUCUAACAAUUAAUCCAAAAUUUACUUUACUUUGAAUUCAAUGAAUAGCCCUAUACAUGAAUAAAAUAUUAUAAGAACCAAAAUUGGACGGGGGACAUAAAGCAAACUUUUCAUGAACAAAUAGAUCCAAUACCACAAAUAACAAGCAAUAGAUCCAAUACCAUAAAUAACAAGCAAUAGAUAAACUUCUCAUGAAAUUGGCAAUUAAAACUAGAAGUGUGAAACUGUUGACCUUCAAUCCAAUCUCUUAUUACAGAAUCCUUCGAGGAAAUAAUAUUACAUUCAUGUUGUGCCAACAAUAGAAAAAAGUCCAUUAAAAAAAGGAACAAGAAUCUGGAAAAGCUUUAAAACAAAAAACUUAUGCAAGGAAUAAGAAUCUGGACAAAUAAAAAUCUUAUGUAAGGAACAAGAAUUUGGACAACAAUAAAACAAAAAACUUAUGCAAAGUUGCUUUCCGAAGCAUAUGGAAUUAUAGGAGAAAAAAGCGCAAAUCCUACUCUGGCGUAGAAGAAUUUAAGAUACUCAUACCCAAUUAAGUACUUCACUGAUAAAAGACAAUCACAGAAAUUGAUAUUUCCAUAAUUUAGUGUAGCAGCAAUCGAGUAAAGCAAUUGAAGAUAGAGUUCUUACUGUUCUUCUCCGAUCAGCAGCAACAGGUCUUGUGACCGUUCUUUUUCGAUCAGCAGCAGCAGGACGCAACAGGGGAGGAACUCUUUGAAUUAGAACUGAUAAGAAAAACCUGAGAAAGAAUAGUUACUAGAGAGUGGGGUAAAAAUCCGGGAAAAGCAAUUAAAAGGCUUUUGGCUUGCCGCGUUUGAUUUUGGCGAAAAAUUGGAAAGACUUAGGCCACAAUCCAC